UCUUUAAUGUACUCUUUUACAGUCACAUUCCCCCCAGCUGAGUGCUCCCUGUCAUCCAAUGUGGACGUUCAGCUUACUGCACCCUCAGCACAACUAAAUCCUAAAGAGGCAUUUGAAAAGUUCAUGGAGAGGCUUUCUUCUCUAAAUGCCUCUGGUCCUUCUGCCAAGCCUCAAAGAAGCUCUGCAUCAUCAUGGACUUUUCGGCAGCAGAAAGCCUCAGAGCGCUGGACAGAAAAACGACCAAACAACCUACAAUGCCUCAUUGAAAAGGAGGCUGUUGGUCAUCCCUUGUGUUGCCUCUGCCACAAGCCAGCUGUUAUUAGUUGCAGAGGGUGUCUCCUUGAAGAGUGGUUCUGUGGUGACUGCGAUGUACUGCAUCACAAAAAACAGCCACUCCACAACAGGGAAUGUCUGAUACGUGGGUUAUUUGAACCCAUUCCUCCAACCACACAUGUCAUUAAAGGGGAGGGUGGAUAUUACACUCAGGAGCAAGGGCAUUAUGACUUGCAUCAGCCACUGAAUGUAUGUAAGACGUGCCAGCAGCAGUGGACCCCUGACAUGAAGGACUUCCUUCGGAGUGGAUAUUGGCCAGCCUCUGUCAA
Long non-coding RNA from Gadus macrocephalus (Pacific cod), 602 nucleotides. RefSeq lists it as uncharacterized. NCBI's taxonomy places the organism in Eukaryota, Metazoa, Chordata, Actinopteri, Gadiformes, Gadidae. The transcript has 4 exons. The record is from RefSeq and is a predicted model, not a curated record.